Molecule: long non-coding RNA, 239 nt
Organism: Sorex araneus (European shrew)
Lineage: Eukaryota; Metazoa; Chordata; Mammalia; Eulipotyphla; Soricidae
Exons: 3
Source: RefSeq, a predicted model, not a curated record
CCGGGCGCGAGUGACGAAUCGCGGCUCGGCUGGGCCGCAGGGAGCCGCCCCCGGGGCCGAGCGCGCGCGGGGCGGAGGCGACGCAGGAAUCAACCACUGUACUUCUGUCUACGGAUUUGACCACUACAGGAACUGGCUUACUCCUAGCUCUUGUGCUCAGGAAUCACCCCUAGCACAGUCCAGGGAAGCAUAUGGUGCUGCAGCUGAAACCCAGGUCAGCUACAUGCAAGGCAAGUACA